CCCAUCCAGCCGGCGUCACCCUCAUUUUCUGCUCGUGAGCCGGAGGGGGAAGGCGAAGCCGCUCACCUGCGAGCUGCCAGCGUGUCACCGGAGCCAGGCAGCAGGUGUCGAGCAUCCAACCUUCCGGACUUUACCCCGCCGGAGCUGGCUCGGGGCAGCGGCUGCGGCGAGGACAUCGGCACCCGGCUGGGGAUGCGGGACGGGGAAGGGGCUCCCGGCAGCACCCCCACCCCGCACGGUCCGAGCCCGGAGCGACUUCUGCACUUGCCUGGCGUCGAGCCCCACGUGCAAGACCUGACCUGAACGUUUUGUUCGUUCGGCUCGCGUUAGGCAGGUCCAGCCCGUCUGCAAGCACCCGCGCCAUGCCGGGGCGGCACGUCCCCUGCGCCACGCGGCUCGCAGCCCACGCGGAGCGUGCACACCCGUGCGGGACGCGCGGGCUGGUUUGCAGCGGGUGCGACCCCGUGAGCAUACAGUCCGUGGGGCACGCAUGCAGCCUUCACCCACACGCACGGGCGCAGGGUGGCACGGGCGCGAAGCUCUCAGCAGGCAGUGCCCGCAGAAGACACUGUGCGUGCAACACGUGCGAACGCCACGGGACGCACACGCAGGACACGGGACCCGCGUGCCGUUUGCACACGUGGCGGCGGUGACACUCGGCACUGCAGGCAGUGAGACGGGGGACACACGCUAGGUGUGCCCAGGGCACGAGAGGAAAGCCACCCACCCGUGACACGCUAGGCACACGCGUCCCGCCUGCCGGCAGCAGCCUGGCCGUGCGCCCGCCAGCAGCGGGGCGCAGCUCCAGGUAGGUCUCAACGGUCUGCUGGCACCGAGGGAGCCACAGGGGAGGGAGAGCAAGAGCAGGGCAGAGGACUGGGGUGGGGGGGUCGCAUCCUUUCCCUGCCUGUGCGCUGGGCUGCCCGGGCCAGGCACGUGGUCCUGCUGCUGCCCACGCUGCUACGGAAGGGUCUGGGGGGGAUGUGGCAAGCUGCGGGGGGCUCCUCCAGGACAGCCCGCUCAGUGCCUACCCCACGCUCAAAGCACGCUGUAGGGCUUGACCUGGACUUCUGCUCCCCUCCCUGGCCAGCACAGAGCCCAGGGCUGAUCCUUGCCCCGUGGAGCUAGCGGGGAGUCCCAGAGAGCUGGGACAGCGACGGAUCAGCCCAGGAUGCGCACCGUGCCUCUGUGCCUGGCCAUGCCUGGCUCUCUGCGUUUUUCCUGAGAGCCCUGAGCAGUUCCUGCCCUGCCCUCCGGGCGCUGCUCCCAGGCACUCCCCGCAGGCGCUCGUGCUUCUUUUUUGGCGUAGGACCCAGCUGUGCUCAGGGAUGCUCUGAGCCUACCGGUGGGUCCUGAGCCCUGCCUGCAGCAUCGGCGAACGCCACGAAGGCUGAGCCUUGUGUGCUGUGGGACGAGGUGAUUCCUGCUGCUUUCCCCCAUCCCCACCCGGUCCCUGCACGGGUUGAGGCUCAGCAGCCCCUGCCCCAGAGCAGAACAGCCCCGCUCCAUCCUGGGGUGCCUCUGCAAGGGAUGGAGAUCAGGCACGUCGCUGAGCAGAUGCUUGGAACAUCUCCAGCAGGUGGGGGGGGAAAGCAUCAAAAGCACGGGGCGAGG
Molecule: long non-coding RNA, 1614 nt
Organism: Anser brachyrhynchus (Pink-footed goose)
Lineage: Eukaryota; Metazoa; Chordata; Aves; Anseriformes; Anatidae
Source: Ensembl